UUUCUCUCCUCGGCUCGGCGCCGCCUCCGGCAAGAUUGGCGCUGCUCCGCAUCGCCGGAGCUCGCCCCCUUCUCUUUCUCCAUUCCUCUUUUCUUCCGAUCCUCCAAUUUAGCUCUUGACUCCUAAUUGAAGAUUCAAAAUUAUAGUUUAGGGGAAAUGUCUAUGGCGGCUCCUCUCCUAAUUCGCCGCCGCCGCUGUUCCAAGCUCGCGGCUGCUCCUCCUCGGCGGCCUUGACUCCGUCGGUUCUCCAUUCGGUGAAGUCCCGGUUAGGGAGAAGGCGUCGCCUCUCCCUCCGUCGGCUUCUCUCUCUCGCUCGGUGGCCUCACCGCACCGCCGCCGACGUCGCUCGCCGUCGGCCUCGGCAAGGAUGCCGCCGUCUGCCUCGCCCCUGCUGCCGCCGUGAUCCGCAGCUUCUCCGCGGAAGUUCUUCGGCUCCGUCGACACUCGCCGUCGCCCGGUCGCCCCUCCGCCUAAGCUAAGUCCUCUCCCCCUACCCCUUACUCCUUUUUCGAGUUAUGGCAGUAGCUUAUUUUUGGAAAAAAAGUUCUCCAUUGGAGUCUUGUGUGGCUUAUGGUGAUAUAUUGCUCAAUUUCAAGAUCUUGCUAUAUUUUUGCUUAUGAUACUAUGCCACUGAAUUCAUAGGGAGGGGGUAUCAUGCGGCUAUCUCUAAUUUGCAUAGCUCUAAGCUCUUGAGCUUCAACUUAGUGUUACAUGAUUGCUAUUGUUUUCAUCCUUGCUGUGAGGAUCCUAUGAAAAUUCUAAGUUCUUGUGCUAUCUAUUGUUGUCCUACAUGAUGCGAAGAUUAUUGGUGUUGAGGUUGUUUACCUCGCUUGGUGAUUUCGGUUCGGUGGUGGCGGUCUCUCGCCUUCGCCGCCGCUUCCUCUCCUCUCCGUCGCCCCGCGCUUAGUGUCGUGAGUGGGGUGGCGGAGGUGAAGGGGAAGGUGGCUCUUAUAUGGUGCUAAUCUAUUGGAAGCUAGGUUUGAGACUUGGAGCCAAAGGCUCCUAUUUUGGGCUUGUUAGCUCUCUCACUUUCGAGCUUGAUGAUUGUGAGAUUCUUGCCGUUUUGGUGAUGGUGGCUGAUCUUCUUGGCUGAUUUCUCGGCCUUGAUCGACGGGGAGAUGAGAGUUUGUCUCAUCUUCUACUUUUGGGCUUGUGUACAUGGAGGCAUUCUUGGAGCUUGUGGAGGGAAGCAAAAUCGAGAUUAAGAAAGAGAGGGAAAGAAAGGAGAUGCUCCUCUUGAGCUCAUUUGGUUCUAUUCCCAAUUUAGUUUGCUUCCAAACUUGAGAAUUAAAGAAGUAGGAUAGAUAGCGUAGAAUAGGUGCAUGUUGAUUUUUAUCACACUUGCAGGCAUGUACUAUUUCCAUCAUCCAUGUAUUUCUAUUUCUUCACAGUGUAUCCACAUUUCUCUAAUAAAAGUAUUUUCUCCA
Molecule: non-coding RNA, 1427 nt
Organism: Salvia hispanica
Lineage: Eukaryota; Viridiplantae; Streptophyta; Magnoliopsida; Lamiales; Lamiaceae
Source: RefSeq, a predicted model, not a curated record